GAUGUUAUCGAUAUAUCGUUUGCGCAUACGACGUGACUAUUCAAUGCAUUUGGGUUGUUGUCUCGGCUAACAUAUGUGACUCAUCAAAGCCGAAUGAAACUGAUUUCAUCCCAUGUGGACAGUUUUUGAACAAUUCAACACAAUACGUUUAGAAAUGUCAUUCAUCAGAGACUCAAAUGCGUACUGAUUUGUCAGUUAUUUUGCAAGACGAAUACUUCCGAGAGCCAAACCGAAGACAAAUCGGGAAAACAGCGACUAUGAACAAAGAAAAUCUAACGACACGACAGCCAGUACGAACAAAACUUAAUAAUAAAAAAAAUUGAGUAAAAAUUGGCGCCACCCACAAAAGUUGAGUAGUCUCAAAAAAAUAAGCACAUGCGCUCUUGUUUUGAGUGCGUUUGCAUGAGCUUUCACUCCAGAUACUUGAAAGCUUUCACUCAUUUGUAUUCCAACAAGUAUUCGGCUUCAGAUACGUUGUCACUUAGUUUGUCGGUUGGAUGCGGAUACGAUCGGAUAUGGGAUCCGCGAAGAUGGUGAAUGGUUUAUAACAAUUAUAAAAUGGUCUUAAGAAUUUAUAUUUAAUGAUCGUUAAAUA
Molecule: long non-coding RNA, 595 nt
Organism: Drosophila albomicans
Lineage: Eukaryota; Metazoa; Arthropoda; Insecta; Diptera; Drosophilidae
Exons: 3
Source: RefSeq, a predicted model, not a curated record